CUUCACCCUUCACCCUUCAGGCGUAUGCUGGUGAGAUGAAGGAACACACCCAAUCUGUUCCCUGCUAACCUACUUUACAGCAAACAUACCGUCAACAUAUGGCCACAGUGCACCAGCUUCUUUCCCAUCAACCUCAACCCUGUCAUCUUCAUCACAAGGAGAAGACUUUCAACAUUUUAAGGACCUCAAAAUUGUCAACAUGUGUUUACACCAAAACACAAGUCAGUGACAUCUAGGGUGGGUGAAUUCGAUGGCAGGCAGAACCACCAGGCCAUAAACCAGCAUCCAGUAGUGAAGUUUAAUGGUGAGGUGAACAACAGUUGAGACAGUCUUCAGAGUCCAACAGUAUGCAUAACAAGACACUGUACCCUGGACCUUUGUUCUGAAGUAAAUGCACAGAUGUACCCUGUAGUUAUUUUAAGUACCCCAAAAUUAUAAAGGAACAAUGUGGUUUGCCUAUUUGUUGGUAAUAUGUUGGUACUAAGGUCAUUUUGAAAUAAAAUCAU
Thunnus maccoyii (southern bluefin tuna) is the source of this 506-nucleotide long non-coding RNA. RefSeq lists it as uncharacterized. The record is from RefSeq and is a predicted model, not a curated record. The transcript is spliced from 3 exons. NCBI's taxonomy places the organism in Eukaryota, Metazoa, Chordata, Actinopteri, Scombriformes, Scombridae.